RNAcentral lists this ribosomal RNA (260 nucleotides) under uncultured Acinetobacter sp. Its description in RNAcentral is "partial 16S ribosomal RNA". It matches the Rfam family "Bacterial small subunit ribosomal RNA", at positions 355 to 606 of the family's 1533-position model. Lineage: Bacteria; Pseudomonadati; Pseudomonadota; Gammaproteobacteria; Moraxellales; Moraxellaceae. The record is from RNAcentral.
UGGGGAAUAUUGGACAAUGGGGACCGGUAGCAUCAGCCAUGCCGCGCUGUGUGAAGAAGGCCUUAUGGUUGUAAAGCACUUUAAGCGAGGAGGAGGCUCUUUUGGUUAAUACCCAAGAUGAGUGGACGUUACUCGCAGAAUAAGCACCGGCUAACUCUGUGCCAGCAGCCGCGGUAAUACAGAGGGUGCGAGCGUUAAUCGGAUUUACUGGGCGUAAAGCGUGCGUAGGCGGCUUUUUAAGUCGGAUGUGAAAUCCCGCG